RNAcentral lists this ribosomal RNA (453 nucleotides) under uncultured bacterium. Its description in RNAcentral is "bacterial SSU rRNA". It matches the Rfam family "Bacterial small subunit ribosomal RNA", at positions 349 to 793 of the family's 1533-position model. The record is from RNAcentral.
CAGCAGUGGGGAAUAUUGCACAAUCGGGCGCAAGCCUGAUGCAGCCAUGCCGCGUGUAUGAAGAAGGCCUUCGGGUUGUAAAGUACUUUCAGCAGUGAGGAAGGUGGUGCAGUUAAUAGCUGUAUCAUUUGACGUUAGCAACAGAAGAAGCACCGGCUAACUCCGUGCCAGCAGCCGCGGUAAUACGGAGGGUGCGAGCGUUAAUCGGAAUUACUGGGCGUAAAGCGCAUGCAGGUGGUUUGUUAAGUCAGAUGUGAAAGCCCCGGGGCUCAACCUCGGAACUGCAUUUGAAACUGGCAGACUAGAGUCUUGUAGAGGGGGUAGAAUUUCAGGUGUAGCGGUGAAAUGCGUAGAGAUCUGAAGGAAUACCAGUGGCGAAGGCGGCCCCCUGGACAAAGACUGACGCUCAGAUGCGAAAGCGUGGGGAGCAAACAGGAUUAGAUACCCUGGUAG